Molecule: ribosomal RNA, 1343 nt
Filed under: uncultured bacterium
Lineage: Bacteria
Description: 16S ribosomal RNA
Rfam family: Bacterial small subunit ribosomal RNA
Source: RNAcentral
GACGAACGCUGGCGGCGUGCUUAACACAUGCAAGUCGAACGGAAAGGCCCUGCUUUUGUGGGGUGCUCGAGUGGCGAACGGGUGAGUAACACGUGAGUAACCUGCCCUUGACUUUGGGAUAACUUCAGGAAACUGGGGCUAAUACCGGAUAGGAGCUCCUGCUGCAUGGUGGGGGUUGGAAAGUUUCGGCGGUUGGGGAUGGACUCGCGGCUUAUCAGCUUGUUGGUGGGGUAGUGGCUUACCAAGGCUUUGACGGGUAGCCGGCCUGAGAGGGUGACCGGCCACAUUGGGACUGAGAUACGGCCCAGACUCCUACGGGGGGCAGCAGUGGGGAAUAUUGCACAAUGGGCGGAAGCCUGAUGCAGCAACGCCGCGUGCGGGAUGACGGCCUUCGGGUUGUAAACCGCUUUCGCCUGUGACGAAGCGUGAGUGACGGUAAUGGGUAAAGAAGCACCGGCUAACUACGUGCCAGCAGCCGCGGUGAUACGUAGGGUGCGAGCGUUGUCCGGAUUUAUUGGGCGUAAAGGGCUCGUAGGUGGUUGAUCGCGUCGGAAGUGUAAUCUUGGGGCUUAACCCUGAGCGUGCUUUCGAUACGGGUUGACUUGAGGAAGGUAGGGGAGAAUGGAAUUCCUGGUGGAGCGGUGGAAUGCGCAGAUAUCAGGAGGAACACCAGUGGCGAAGGCGGUUCUCUGGGCCUUUCCUGACGCUGAGGAGCGAAAGCGUGGGGAGCGAACAGGCUUAGAUACCCUGGUAGUCCACGCUGUAAACGGUGGGUACUAGGUGUGGGGUCCAUUCCACGGGUUCCGUGCCGUAGCUAACGCUUUAAGUACCCCGCCUGGGGAGUACGGCCGCAAGGCUAAAACUCAAAGGAAUUGGCGGGGCCCCGCACAAGCGGCGGAGCAUGCGGAUUAAUUCGAUGCAACGCGUAGAACCUUACCUGGGUUUGACAUGGAUCGGGAGUGCUCAGAGAUGGGUGUGCCUCUUUUGGGGUCGGUUCACAGGUGGUGCAUGCCUGUCGUCAGCUCGUGUCGUGAGAUGUUGGGUUAAGUCCCGCAACGAGCGCAACCCUUGUUCACUGUUGCCAGCACGUUAUGGUGGGGACUCAGUGGAGACCGCCGGGGUCAACUCGGAGGAAGGUGGGGAUGACGUCAAGUCCUCAUGCCCCUUAUGUCCAGGGCUUCACGCAUGCUACAAUGGCUGGUACAGAGAGUGGCGAGCCUGUGAGGGUGAGCGAAUCUCGGAAAGCCGGUCUCAGUUCGGAUUGGGGUCUGCAACUCGACCUCAUGAAGUCGGAGUCGCUAGUAAUCGCAGAUCAGCAACGCUGCGGUGAAUACGUUCCCGGG